RNAcentral lists this ribosomal RNA (538 nucleotides) under Janibacter massiliensis. Its description in RNAcentral is "bacterial SSU rRNA". It matches the Rfam family "Bacterial small subunit ribosomal RNA", at positions 327 to 879 of the family's 1533-position model. The record is from RNAcentral. Lineage: Bacteria; Bacillati; Actinomycetota; Actinomycetes; Micrococcales; Intrasporangiaceae.
UGGGGGGCCCUUCGGGAGGCAGCAGUGGGGAAUAUUGCACAAUGGGCGAAAGCCUGAUGCAGCGACGCCGCGUGAGGGAUGACGGCCUUCGGGUUGUAAACCUCUUUCAGCAGGGAAGAAGCGAAAGUGACGGUACCUGCAGAAGAAGCACCGGCUAACUACGUGCCAGCAGCCGCGGUAAUACGUAGGGUGCGAGCGUUGUCCGGAAUUAUUGGGCGUAAAGAGCUUGUAGGCGGUUUGUCGCGUCUGCUGUGAAAAUCCGGGGCUCAACCCCGGACUUGCAGUGGGUACGGGCAGACUAGAGUGUGGUAGGGGAGACUGGAAUUCCUGGUGUAGCGGUGAAAUGCGCAGAUAUCAGGAGGAACACCGAUGGCGAAGGCAGGUCUCUGGGCCACUACUGACGCUGAGAAGCGAAAGCAUGGGGAGCGAACAGGAUUAGAUACCCUGGUAGUCCAUGCCGUAAACGUUGGGCGCUAGGUGUGGGACUCAUUCCACGAGUUCCGUGCCGCAGCUAACGCAUAAGCGCCCCGCCUGGGAU